Long non-coding RNA from Amborella trichopoda, 675 nucleotides. RefSeq lists it as uncharacterized. NCBI's taxonomy places the organism in Eukaryota, Viridiplantae, Streptophyta, Magnoliopsida, Amborellales, Amborellaceae. The record is from RefSeq and is a predicted model, not a curated record.
UUUUGUGAGAUAUUGCGAGUGUAUGUGUGACUGUAACUUCAGUAGUCUACCUAGUUACUGCCCACCUGAGUUGAAGACAUUCUGUAGCUACUACAUUUGCAGAUAGUGGGCUUCCGAGGAAAUCUUCACUAUUGGAUAGAUUUGAUUGCUAGCGUGUCGACGAUAAGAAGGAAUUUUUUUGACAUUUGAUAAGACGGCUACUCGGGUCGGGCCAUGUUUAGUAAAGAGAUGGUUUUUGUGACAUCCCAUGGGCCGACUGUUCUUCUAAAUCUGGUUUUGCUGAGAGGAUUGUAAAAAUAAUGGUAUUCGUGGAGAGAAAUUGGAGGAGGUUGGCUUGAGCAUAUGGGAUACACUGGACUAUUUGGGUCAGAUGGAGAAUAUGGUACCAGAGUUCUUGUUGGUGAUGGUGAAGUAUUGGGUGAAUUGGCUGGGAUUAUAUCCAUUGGCAUAUUGCCUCUGUUGGUAUCCAUAUUUUUAUUUGUAUUAAAUAAUUGAAGCCCUAAAGAUAAUUCGGCUGGGUCAGAGUGGUCUGUUUUGCCCCCUUGCAAAAAUUCUCGUGUCAAAAAAUCAGGUAGAGCAUUAGAAAUACCUGUAAGAUGUUCAAUGGUAAAAUCAAAGGCAGAUAAGAUAGCUUGCCAUUGAGCAAAGAUCUGUUUGGAUACUAAAUUUUUCAUA